This is a small nuclear RNA of Salvia hispanica, 120 nucleotides long. RefSeq annotates it as U5 spliceosomal RNA. Lineage: Eukaryota; Viridiplantae; Streptophyta; Magnoliopsida; Lamiales; Lamiaceae. The record is from RefSeq and is a predicted model, not a curated record.
AGUUGCGCAUUGAGUCACAUAGAGAAUUAUUCUUUUGUCUUUUACUAAAGAAUAUCGUGUGGUCGUCGCUGUUCAAGCAACAUACGCCAUUUUUUAGAGGGUGUUUUCUUCAUGAAACCC